UUUUAAUCUAUAUACACAAUUUAAGAAAAGAUCCCUUGUGAUACAUUUAUACACCGUUCUUACCUUAAAUACUCUCAAUGUCAACAUCCCAUUUUAGUCAACAUCGUCAUGAAGUAACCACGCAAUGGAGGAAUUAAUGGAAACACGCAUAGCAGUAAUAUUAUACUUCCUGUAUUUGUGUGUUGACAUGUAACACCAGCAUGAGCAUCAGUGAGUGGAAUACUGGAGUCUCUAUACUGAGAAAUGCUGUGUCAUUGUCUUAGAGCCUCAGUGCACACACACUACAGUGAACACAUGGAAACAGAUGAGCUGGACUUCAAGUUUAAUUGGUAAAGACAACAUAAAAGUGGAACUAUGCUGUGACGUCUAUUCUCUGCACUGCGCAGAGCCGCUGAGUGGAUAGCUUCUUGUUGUUGCUCCUCAAAGAAGAACGGGGCAGCAUCAGGAUGACUGUACAAGUGUAAAGGACGGAACGUGUGGACAGUCUCUAGUGAUGGAACAACGUCCAGUCCAGAUCCAUCCUAAAUGGAGAGAGGCUCACAUUUCCACUCCACCUUAUGUCUGAAAGCUUAUUUUCUUAACUCAUGCUGAUCAACAGUUGCUCUGCGCUUGUUAUAAUGACGACUUGUCCGAAAACUCCUUGUUGGGAAGUUGGAUUAUGUUUGACAGCUGACAAGUGCAGCAGUGGCUCAGAGUCGACUGUAUCCACCAGUUAUUUACAUGGUAAACACGCAGUGUGGUCAGCACAGUAAAAAAUCAAUCCAAUGAAUUUAAGAAAUGGUUGUUAAGAUCUUUCAACCGUCAUUAAAAUGUUGUUACACCUUUGC
Long non-coding RNA from Scatophagus argus, 827 nucleotides. RefSeq lists it as uncharacterized. The record is from RefSeq and is a predicted model, not a curated record. NCBI's taxonomy places the organism in Eukaryota, Metazoa, Chordata, Actinopteri, Scatophagidae. The transcript has 3 exons.